CCACGGACUGACGUCCGUGGCUGUUGCAUGUCAUCGCUUUGCGAUU
RNAcentral lists this small RNA (46 nucleotides) under Novipirellula galeiformis. RNAcentral describes it as "Acido-Lenti-1 RNA". It matches the Rfam family "Acido-Lenti-1 RNA". The record is from Rfam by way of RNAcentral. Lineage: Bacteria; Pseudomonadati; Planctomycetota; Planctomycetia; Pirellulales; Pirellulaceae.